RNAcentral lists this ribosomal RNA (427 nucleotides) under uncultured bacterium. Its description in RNAcentral is "partial 16S ribosomal RNA". It matches the Rfam family "Bacterial small subunit ribosomal RNA", at positions 355 to 774 of the family's 1533-position model. The record is from RNAcentral.
UGGGGAAUAUUGCACAAUGGGCGCAAGCCUGAUGCAGCCAUGCCGCGUGUAUGAAGAAGGCCUUCGGGUUGUAAAGUACUUUCAGCGGGGAGGAAGGUGUUGUGGUUAAUAACCACAGCAAUUGACGUUACCCGCAGAAGAAGCACCGGCUAACUCCGUGCCAGCAGCCGCGGUAAUACGGAGGGUGCAAGCGUUAAUCGGAAUUACUGGGCGUAAAGCGCACGCAGGCGGUCUGUCAAGUCGGAUGUGAAAUCCCCGGGCUCGACCUGGGAACUGCAUCCGAAACUGGCAGGCUUGAGUCUUGUAGAGGGGGGUAGAAUUCCAGGUGUAGCGGUGAAAUGCGUAGAGAUCUGGAGGAAUACCGGUGGCGAAGGCGGCCCCCUGGACAAAGACUGACGCUCAGGUGCGAAAGCGUGGGGAGCAAACA